This 322-nucleotide long non-coding RNA is filed under the name Heterocephalus glaber (naked mole-rat). RNAcentral's name for it is "lncRNA (ENSHGLG00000037142.1)". Lineage: Eukaryota; Metazoa; Chordata; Mammalia; Rodentia; Bathyergidae. The record is from RNAcentral.
CACCAUGCCCCAUGCACCCCCGGAUCCAUCCAACUCCCCUCACUGAGCUCCGGGAACCAGCUUCUGUGGCAAGAGUUCCACCAGGUGCUGGUGGUUCAGCCUACAUCCCCCACACCUGGACGGAAACCAAGGGAGAGACCAGCAGGUCUGAACACCUCCAGGAAGCCUUCUGGGACUCCCCCACCUGCCUCAUCUUGAAGCACAGGAGAUUGUUGUUUCACAUGUUGAGGGCCUUCUGGAUGCCACACACUGCCGAGGCUCUGGGGAAUAUGGCAGUAAAGAAGGCAAAGGCCUGUCCUCAUGAAGUUGAUGUUCUAUGGAG